This 496-nucleotide ribosomal RNA is filed under the name uncultured bacterium. RNAcentral's name for it is "partial 16S ribosomal RNA". It matches the Rfam family "Bacterial small subunit ribosomal RNA", at positions 28 to 507 of the family's 1533-position model. The record is from RNAcentral.
GACGAACGCUGGCGGCGUGCCUAAUACAUGCAAGUCGAACGAGAGCGACCGGUGCUUGCACUGGUCAAUCUAGUGGCGAACGGGUGAGUAACACGUGGGUAACCUGCCCAUCAGAGGGGGAUAACAUCCGGAAACGGAUGCUAAAACCGCAUAGGUCUUCGAACCGCAUGGUUUGAAGAGGAAAAGAGGCGCAAGCUUCUGCUGAUGGAUGGACCCGCGGUGCAUUAGCUAGUUGGUGGUAACGGCUCACCAAGGCCGUGAUGCAUAGCCGACCUGAGAGGGUGAUCGGCCACAUUGGGACUGAGACACGGCCCAAACUCCUACGGGAGGCAGCAGUAGGGAAUCUUCCGCAAUGGACGCAAGUCUGACGGAGCAACGCCGCGUGAGUGAAGAAGGUUUUCGGAUCGUAAAACUCUGUUGUUAGAGAAGAACAAGUGCUAGAGUAACUGUUAGCGCCUUGACGGUAUCUAACCAGAAAGCCACGGCUAACUACGUG